AAGUCGUAACAAGGUUUCCGUAGGUGAACCUGCGGAAGGAUCAUUAACACGUAUCCAAACGUUAAAACCCCCCCCGUGAACCUUCAUCCUGCUCUUGUAACCCGCGAGUUAGCGCUUCUACGAUUCCUGUAGACCGUACACUCGGGCAGGAGCUUUGCCAAAGGGUCCCCAUGCCCCCUAAUAUCCCCACAGUUUAAUGUGAAGCUCAAUGUAAUACAUUGGGUAAAAAAACCGAACAACUGUUAACAAUGGAUAUCUUGGUUCUC
RNAcentral lists this unclassified non-coding RNA (266 nucleotides) under fungal sp. RNAcentral's name for it is "partial internal transcribed spacer region". The stretch from base 1 to 46 matches the Rfam family "Eukaryotic small subunit ribosomal RNA", at positions 1786 to 1831 of the family's 1831-position model. Lineage: Eukaryota; Fungi. The record is from RNAcentral.